GUGGGGUAACGGCCUACCAAGGCGUCGACGGGUAGCUGGUCUGAGAGGACGGACAGCCACACUGGGACUGAGACACGGCCCAGACUCCUACGGGAGGCAGCAGUGGGGAAUAUUGCGCUAAUGCGCGAAAGCGUGACGCAGCGACGCCGCGUGGGGGAUGAAGGCCCUCGGGUCGUAAACCCCUUUCGCCAGGGACGAAGGGAAACUGACGGUACCUGCAGAAGAAGCCUCGGCUAACUACGUGCCAGCAGCCGCGGUAACACGUAGGAGGCGAGCGUUGUCCGGAAUCAUUGGGCGUAAAGAGCGCGCAGGCGGCUUGGCAAGUCGGGUGUGAAAUCCCGGGGCUCAACCCCGUGACUGCAUCCGAUACUGUCAGGCUAGAGGUAGGUAGGGGAGAUCGGAAUUCCUGGUGUAGCGGUGAAAUGCGCAGAUAUCAGGAGGAACACCGGUGGCGAAGGCGGAUCUCUGGGCCUUACCUGACGCUCAGGCGCGAAAGCUAGGGGAGCGAACAGGAUUAGAUACCCUGGUAGUCCUAGCCGUAAACGUUGGGUGCUAGGUGUGGGCGGAUAUCAACCCCGUCCGUGCCGAAGCUAACGCAUUAAGCA
Molecule: ribosomal RNA, 605 nt
Filed under: uncultured Actinomycetes bacterium
Lineage: Bacteria; Bacillati; Actinomycetota; Actinomycetes
Description: bacterial SSU rRNA
Rfam family: Bacterial small subunit ribosomal RNA
Source: RNAcentral